AAUUUUUGUGAGAGAUUGCGAGUCGGAUUUCGGGCUCGAAAAUCGGACUGUCAAUCUCUUAUUUGAGGGCCAAUUCAUGUUGGAAUCUCAAUCAAACAUUUAAGAGGAACAAUUCCAUCGAACAAAACUAGAUAUAAAAGAAAAUAAAAAACUAUAACUAGAUAAACAGUAAUAAUAAUAAAAAUCUACCUAAUUCCCUUUUCCUUUUUUUUGUUUUCCAAACAAGCUUGUGCCCGUGUGGUGGUCACCGUCGGUCCAGCAAGGGUGUCGCGGUCGGGGCUCCGGCGAAGGUCCGGCGAGGGGCAGUAGCGUUGCAGGGGGUCUCCGUGGGUGUUGAUCGCGAGUCGUCGAGUAGUGGACUCACGGCUUCGAGCGGGCGGAGCGGGGCAGGAAAAGCUCCGGAUCGGCAGAAAUCAAGGCAGCGCAGCGAGGAAACUCGGUGAUCGGCUUCGACGAGCUUCUGCAUGGCCGUGCUCGCGGAAGGGCUGGGUCGGCGGUGCCGGUGUCACGAGCUUAUGGGCGAUGGCGUCACGGACAGGGGCGCUGCAGAUCGGCGACAGCAGAGGCGGAGUCGGGCCGUCGUGGGUCGGUGCGGUGGUGGAGCUUCGGGCUGAGGGCAGAGCAGAAACGGCGUCGCGGGAACUCGGGAUCCGGUGCUCGGGCAGAGGUUCGAUGGUGGAGCGCGCGGUGAUGCGGAGGAGCUUCGGGUAGUCACGGAUGGAGAAGCAACGCGGGGGCAGCAAACUUGGAGAGAAGAUGAACAGUAGGGGUCAAAUCACCCCCCUUUUUCUGCUUUUCCGCCUCUCCUCUGUCUCUUCCUUUUACUCUCCUUUUCACUUCCCACUUUUUUUACUUUUUUGCUUUUUUUCCUCUUCCUUGAUCUGAAGAAAACCUAGCAAAAAGCCUAUUCUCUCUCUUUCUUUUUCUGAAUUUUUUUUAAAAGGAAGCCCCCUAAACCUCUCGCACGCACGGCCUUUUAUAAGAAAAG
RNAcentral lists this long non-coding RNA (988 nucleotides) under Eucalyptus grandis. Its description in RNAcentral is "long non-coding RNA (EGRA_LNC006390)". The record is from RNAcentral. Lineage: Eukaryota; Viridiplantae; Streptophyta; Magnoliopsida; Myrtales; Myrtaceae.